UCAUGGCUCAGGAUGAACGCUGGCGGCGUGCCUAAUACAUGCAAGUCGAACGGGGGUAGCAAUACCCUAGUGGCGAACGGGUGAGUAACACGUAGGUAACCUGCCUUUAGAUUGGGAUACCCGAAGGAAACUUUGGCUAAUACCGGAUAAUAACAACCGAGGCAUCUCGGAUGUUUGAAAGGGGCCUUUAAAGCCCCACUAAAAGAUGGACCUGCGGCGCAUUAGCUAGUUGGUGAGAUAACAGCCCACCAAGGCGAGGAUGCGUAGCCGAACUGAGAGGUUGAUCGGCCACAUUGGAACUGAGACACGGUCCAAACUCCUACGGGAGGCAGCAGUAAGGAGUUUUCGGCAAUGGGGGAAACCCUGACCGAGCAACGCCGCGUGAGUGAUGACGGCCCCCUAUGGGUUGUAAAGCUCUGUUAUAAGGGACGAACAGCUUUGCGAGGAGAUGCGCAGAGUCUGACGGUACUUUGUCAGAAAGCCACGGCUAACUACGUGCCAGCCGCUGC
Molecule: ribosomal RNA, 509 nt
Filed under: uncultured bacterium
Lineage: Bacteria
Description: bacterial SSU rRNA
Rfam family: Bacterial small subunit ribosomal RNA
Source: RNAcentral